This is a long non-coding RNA of Acinonyx jubatus (cheetah), 1483 nucleotides long. RefSeq lists it as uncharacterized. The transcript has 2 exons. The record is from RefSeq and is a predicted model, not a curated record. Lineage: Eukaryota; Metazoa; Chordata; Mammalia; Carnivora; Felidae.
UUACAGAUAAGAAAAUCAUCAAGGCUCAGAGAGGUGAAGUCACUUGUCCAAGGUCAUCCAGCACAUGAGUUUAUUCACCCGUUGCCUGUCAAGGGAUUCCGGAAAGGCUUCCUGAAGGAGGUGACCUGUGAGCUGAGAUCUGAAGAGUGAUUUUCCCCAGUGUGUUUUAGUCAGGGGAGGGCAUGGGGCUUCUCAGAAGAGAGCAGGGAACUAAACAGGGGUCACUGUCAGCAAAGCCAGUGCCCGAGAGAUUUCUGCUGAGAACUGCUUCGUCAUCCUUAGCCAGAUGCGGUAAGAGGGCCAGGAGGGAGGGGGCCACCGUGCAACAGACUCCCUCCCAGUAAAGACGCUGUUGGUACAAGUCUCAAACUUGCAGCUUGAAUGUGGAAUCCAGGGUGCUGGGUUUGUUUGGACUGGAGAGGAGAGCAAAGUGUUUGAAAAUCUGGAGUUGAGUACCUUUAAGGAAUCUAAGUUCUUGAACCUUGUCUUUUGGUGGUAAUAACACAUCUACUUCUGGGAUGCAGACAUGGUCAUACGACUCAGAUUUAGCCAACCAAAAUGCCCUAUUUGCCUGGCCACCGUAAUUGAUUCAGGAAAGGCCACAGGAUCCAAGCCCUCUGGGAGUUUUGCUGGAAGCAUUGAGCUAUGCCAGGCCCUCCAGGAGUUGUUAAGCCAGUUGGCUGUGGGCCUGGGAAUAAAGCCAAUAUGGAGAGAAGCUGUCUGGAGAUACACCCAGAGAUACCACCUGGGCGCCUGGAUCCAGCUAUGCCUGAAGCUCAGAAACUCCUGGACUUGAAGUUUCACAAACCAAUAAAUUCGCCCGUUUGCAUAAAUUAGUGUGAGCUGAUCUUCUGUUACUUGUCUCAGAGAGAACCAAAGCUGCUUUACCUGGAGAAGAAUAAUUAGGAAUGUGAGAAUGAGAGCAGGGCCACUAUCUCCAAAGAGCCGAAGGGUUGCCCUGGCCUUGUAUACAGAUUGUGUGGUUCCAGUGGGCAGGAGGAUCUGGAGCAGGAUGUUGGCUCUAUGAGGAAGAACUUUCCCACAGUUAGAGCUGUUCAGAGAGGACCCCGCGCCACCUGGAGGGAGAGGGUAACUUCCUGUCUCUGGGGGUACGCAAACAGAAGCAGGAUGUGAUGAAAGGGACUGAGGCUGCCUAGAACAGCCAUCCUGUAAUUGACUAUGACUCCGUACCUCAGACCAGCUUCGGUGGAGAGCUGGAGAAUACCAUUUGCUCGCCAUUUUUCAUUGUAAAAUAUUUCAAAGGGCGCCUGAGUGACUCAGUCGGUUAAGCGUCCGACUUCGGCUCAGGUCGUGAUCUCGCGGUCUGUGGGUUCGAGCCCCGCGUCGGGCUCUGGGCUGACCGCUCGGGGCCUGGAGCCUCCUUCGGAUUCUGUGUCUCCCUCUCACUCUGCCCUUCCCCUGCUCGUGCUCUGUCUCCCUUUGUCUAUCAAACAUAAAUAAAGUAAUAACAAAAAUUUAAAAA